CAGCCCCUCCUUCCUAUAUUAUAUGCCAUAGCAUAUAUUUGUCAUCUCCUGCUAAAGAUCCACAGAUUUCAAAGACAACUGAAAUGUAUUCCAUGCUCGCAUAAGAUUUUCUGCUCUGUGGCUCUUACUCAGCUGUUGGUUUCCCUCCCCCAGAGACUGAUAUCACUGAUCAUGAUCUUUGGGCUUAUAUGUUACCCUUUGUCAUUUGCAAAACAACUUGUUAAAUAUUAAAAAGUAACAGACCAACUCACAAAUGCAACCACUUUCUGCUGCUCUGUUUUCCAACACUUCCCCCCAUCUCUUCCAACCCCAUCAUAUCUGUAUAAGCUCAAAUAUUUGUUAGUGUACAAAUGUUCAAGUACUUGCUUAGAACAUAGGCUUUUUCCUAUUCCAACCCCCAUGUACUGUGCAAUGUGUGCACAACUCUUAGGGCUCUUACAGACGAGCGUUUGAAGCUGCAUUCUGUUUUUAUGCAUUCAGCCGCAGGGGAGCACAGGAGUAGACAUUUGGGUUUUUAAUUGACUUGAGCAGCAGUUGCUGACUGACUGUGAUAUGGACUGUAAUAGCUACUCAACCAAUAUGUCCAAGCUUGUAGAGUGUGUCCCGAUUUUCUCAGAGGGUAAGAACAAAGAGUGUAUCUGUAUAGAGAAGCUGCUCGCAGUGAAAGCCGCAGAUCCCAACCAGCUAUGCAGGCUGGAGAAUAUGAAGCUCGGCCCACUAAGUUGAAGAAUCCAGAAUGGGCUCCGGACUUUGGUGACCCAGUUUUUGUCCCUAUCUGGGGUGCAACUGUGAGUGGAGCUUGCAAGUUCCUUAUUGUUUACAAUAUCAAUUUGCUAAGCACCAAAGAGUUGGCUUAUCGCAUUGCACUUAAUAUCCGUAAGAAUGGCCAUGGAAAGGAUCAGGUGAGAUGAAGAAUUUAUGGGACAUCUGUCAGGCAAUUUUUUUGUUGGAACUAAUUUAUUCAAACUGGCACAUUAUUGCUUUCAUGUCAAAGUAUGGCUCCCCAGUUGAGAUAGUCAACAGUGUGAAGUUCGUAGGAGUACAUAUGGCAGAUGACCUCUCCUGGACCCUUAACACAAACUCUAUUACAAAGAAAGCUCAACAACGCCUCCACUUUCUAUGGAAGCUAAAGAAAGCCAAUCUUCCCCCACUGAUUCUUACAACAUUCUAUUGAUGCACCAUCGAGAGUGUGCUCUGCAGCUACAUCACACUAUGGUUUGGAAACUGCACUGUUGCAGAACAAAAGUCUCUGCAGCGAAUUGUGAAAACUGCAGAAAGGAUCAUAGGAGAACCUCUCCCACCCAUCUCCCAACUCUACCAGAAACACCUUGUACGACGAGCAAAUAUCUUAGCAAAAGACAUAUCCCAUCCAUCUCAUUCUCUGUUUUCUCUCUUACCAUCUGGAAGAAGGUUCCGCAGCAUUCAAACUAAAACUACUAGACACUGCAAAAGCUUCUUCCCACAAGCAAUCAGAGCCCUUAACAUGAUAAUACUGAAAAACUAACUGUUCCCUGCACCUGUCACCUUACCUAACAUAUAUCCUCAAAUGCUCUUUUAAAUGCACCAAGUGGGGGGGGGGGCUGAGUGAAACGUAAUUUCGAUACACUGUAUAACUGUUUAUAUGGUCUGUUUUGACAAAUAAAGCAAUCUUAUCUUAUCUUAUCUUAGUAUGAGCGUAUGGAUUGAUGUGGAAGAUAUUUCUAAUGGAAGUUCAUAUGUUUUUUAAAACCAACAUUUGACUGCCACAUUUUCCCAUAGCCAGGGUGUCUUGGAAGAUCCAAGCAAUUGGUUCGUUCCUUCAGGAAGAGAAUUUGGCACAUGUCAACAAAUCUACUUGAUUUUGAAAUAACCCCUCUGCAUGUAGUAUAUGAAGAAGUGUGCAAAGAUGCCAAUGUAUUCCAUCCAGCAAUACCGUGUUAAUUUGCUGAGUGUAAAGAACUUUCACCUUUGUCACAUUCGUCUCUGUGCCACAUAAUGUGUACUAUACCAUUGUAUGGCAUAUUUGUUAUUUUCCCAACGGUCUUUUUUUUUAUUGAGUGCUGCAGUAUUUGAACUGUUUACCAAUAUUGUAUUCCAGGAACUGACCCUCCCUGUAAUAGGU
Long non-coding RNA from Xenopus laevis (African clawed frog), 2101 nucleotides. RefSeq lists it as uncharacterized. The record is from RefSeq and is a predicted model, not a curated record. The transcript is spliced from 3 exons. Lineage: Eukaryota; Metazoa; Chordata; Amphibia; Anura; Pipidae.